This 466-nucleotide ribosomal RNA is filed under the name uncultured bacterium. RNAcentral describes it as "bacterial SSU rRNA". It matches the Rfam family "Bacterial small subunit ribosomal RNA", at positions 355 to 825 of the family's 1533-position model. The record is from RNAcentral.
UGGGGAAUCUUGGACAAUGGGUGAGAGCCUGAUCCAGCCAUGCCGCGUGCAGGAAGAAGGCGUUAUGCGUUGUAAACUGCUUUUGCCAGGGGAUAAAAAGACCGUGCGCGGUUAAUUGAAGGUACCUGGUGAAUAAGCCACGGCUAACUACGUGCCAGCAGCCGCGAUAAUACGUAGGUGGCAAGCGUUGUCCGGAUUUAUUGGGUUUAAAGGGUGCGUAGGUGGCCCUGUAAGUCAGUGGUGAAAUAUCUCAGCUUAACUGAGAGGGUGCCAUUGAUACUGCAGGGCUUGAGUACAGAUGAGGUAGGCGGAAUUGACGGUGUAGCGGUGAAAUGCAUAGAUAUCGUCAAGAACACCGAUAGCGAAGGCAGCUUACCAAGCUGUAACUGACACUGAGGCACGAAAGUGUGGGGAUCAAACAGGAUUAGAUACCCAUGUAGUCCCUGAGCGGGCUGGCAAGGCGCAU